Molecule: ribosomal RNA, 901 nt
Filed under: uncultured bacterium
Lineage: Bacteria
Description: bacterial SSU rRNA
Rfam family: Bacterial small subunit ribosomal RNA
Source: RNAcentral
AGAGUUUGAUCCUGGCUCAGAACGAACGCUGGCGGCGUGCCUAACACAUGCAAGUCGAGCGCGAAAGGGGGGGCAACCCCCCGAGUAGAGCGGCGCACGGGUGAGUAACGCGUGGGUAACCUACCUCCGGGCGGGGGAUAACGACUCGAAAGGGUCGCUAAUACCGCAUGAGACCACGGGGUCCUCGGAUCCUGGGGCCAAAGGCGGCAUCGGCUUGCCGGUGCUGUCACCUGGAGAUGGGCCCGCGUCCGAUUAGCUAGUUGGCAGGGUAACGGCCUACCAAGGCUCCGAUCGGUAGCUGGUCUGAGAGGAUGGCCAGCCACACUGGAACUGGAACACGGUCCAGACUCCUACGGGAGGCAGCAGUGAGGAAUAUUGCGCAAUGGGGGAAACCCUGACGCAGCAACGCCGCGUGUGCGAUGAAGGCCUUCGGGUCGUAAAGCACUUUUCUGGGAGAUGAGAAAGGACAGUAUCCCAGGAAUAAGUCUCGGCUAACUACGUGCCAGCAGCCGCGGUAAAACGUAGGAGGCGAGCGUUAUCCGGAUUCACUGGGCGUAAAGCGCGUGCAGGUGGCUUGGUAAGUUAGGCGUGAAAUCUCCCGGCUCAACUGGGAGAGGUCGUCUAAUACUACCGGGCUUGAGAGCAGAAGAGGAAGAUGGAAUUCCCGGUGUAGUGGUGAAAUGCGUAGAUAUCGGGAGGAACACCAGUGGCGAAGGCGAUCUUCUGGUCUGUUUCUGACACUCAGACGCGACAGCUAGGGUAGUAAACGGGAUUAGAGACCCCGGUAAUCCUAGCCGUAAACGAUGUAAACUUGGCGUUGGUGGGUUAAACUCCAUCAGUGCCGCAGCAAACGCGAUAAGUUUACCGCCUGGGGACUACGGCCGCAAGGUUAAAACUCAAA